This 300-nucleotide ribosomal RNA is filed under the name marine Metazoa environmental sample. RNAcentral's name for it is "SSU rRNA". It matches the Rfam family "Eukaryotic small subunit ribosomal RNA", at positions 587 to 886 of the family's 1831-position model. Lineage: Eukaryota; Metazoa. The record is from RNAcentral.
AGCUCCAAUAGCGUAUAUUAAAGUUGCUGCAGUUAAAAAGCUCGUAGUUGGAUCUCGGGGUACCUGGUCUAGCCGGUAUAGCUCACGCUAAAACUGGUCUGACCCCCCAACGUGAGGUAUUCGUCUCCGGGUGCACUUCAUUGGGUGCUCGUGAGGGGCCUCGUAGUUACUGUGAAAAAAUUAGAGUGUUCAAAGCAGGCUCAUAUGUUCGGAUAGUCGUGCAUGGAAUAACUGAAUACGUGACUGGCGCUUUUCAGUUGGUCUCGGAAACCGGUCAAAUGAUUGCCAAGAAUGUCUUCA